Molecule: ribosomal RNA, 498 nt
Filed under: uncultured bacterium
Lineage: Bacteria
Description: bacterial SSU rRNA
Rfam family: Bacterial small subunit ribosomal RNA
Source: RNAcentral
AUUGAACGCUGGCGGCAUGCUUUACACAUGCAAGUCGAACGGCAGCGGGGGCUUCGGCCUGCCGGCGAGUGGCGAACGGGUGAGUAACACGUAGGGAACCUACCUAUACGACGAGGAUAACUACUGGAAACGGUAGCUAAAACUGGAUAGGAUCAAUUGAGGCAUCUUGAUUGAUUUAAAGAUCCUUCGGGAUUACGUAGAGAUGGCCCUGCGGCGCAUUAGCUAGUUGGUGAGGUAACGGCCCACCAAGGCGACGAUGCGUAGCUGAGCUGAGAGGCUAAACAGCCACACUGGUACUGAGACACGGACCAGACUCCUACGGGAGGCAGCAGUGAGGAAUAUUGGUCAAUGGACGCAAGUCUGAACCAGCCACGUCGCGUGAAGGAAGACGGCCCUACGGGUUGUAAACUUCUUUUGCAAGGGAAUAAAGUGGGCCACGUGUGGCCUUUUGCAAGUACCUUGCGAAUAAGGAUCGGCUAACUCCGUGCCAGCAGCCGA